This 453-nucleotide ribosomal RNA is filed under the name uncultured bacterium. RNAcentral's name for it is "partial 16S ribosomal RNA". It matches the Rfam family "Bacterial small subunit ribosomal RNA", at positions 29 to 523 of the family's 1533-position model. The record is from RNAcentral.
AACGAACGCUGGCGGCAGGUCUUAGGCAUGCAAGUCGAACGGGUGUAGCAAUACAUCAGUGGCGCACGAGUGAGUAACGCGUGGGAAUUUGCCCAUCGGUGGGGAAUAACGUUUGGAAACGAACGCUAAUACCGCAUACGUCGAGAAAUCGAGAAAGAUUUAUCGCCGAUGGAUAAGCCCGCGUCGGAUUAGCUUGUUGGUAGGGUAAUGGCCUACCAAGGCGAUGAUCCAUAGCUGGUCUGAGAGGACGACCAGCCACGCGGGGACUGAGACACGCCCGAGAUUCCUACGGGAGGCAGGAGAGAAGAAUAUUGGAGAAUGGAGGAAACUUUGAUCCAGGAGUGCGGCGUGAGGGAAGAAGGCCUGCGGGUGGUAAAGCCCUUUUAGUCGUGAGGAUGAUGACGGUAGCGACGGAAAAAGCACCGGCUAACUUCGGGCCAGCAGCCGCCGCAG